CUUCCUGAAUCAGGAGUAGGGGGCAGGCAGUUCGGAAAUAGCGACCUGCAGGGUCCGCAGGGGCUUCUGCUGGGGCUGCCCGGGGGAGUCCUGAGCCUCAGCCGCCCCCACGCCUCGUCAGAGCCCCAGAAUGAGGGUCAGCAGGAACGUGCAGGCUCCUAGAAAGUCCUGUGGAAGACGACUGUCUGUUCCGCUGCUCGCCGGUCUCCAGGGCCAAGGAGGGGUGCCUGGCUCCUUUGUAAGAGAAUGAAGGGAUCCGGAAAGAGAGGCGGCCUGCUGAACCAUCAACGAGCCGGAUUUCUCACCUUUCCAUUCCGAGGAGGCGUUGUCAUCAACCUUUAGAGAGAAACUGGAUUGAUUUGGGGGGAGCUCCUGUUUAAGUUUUCGGCCGGUUACCCUGCUACCGUGGAGGCUGCCACCCUUGGCCCAAGUGUUGUCUGCUAACUUGCCGCCAACAAGUGACUGGAACAGCAUCAGACUCCCAAACACUAUCCCAAGCUCCCGGGCAAGUCCACUUAUUUAUCGCAUGCUUUCCUCUUGGUUUACAGCUUUACAUAAAAAGAACUAAAGCACAUAUUUAACUCUGUCAUCAGCAUUUAUUCAUUUUGUGGGUUAUCCUUUCAUCCUAUUUGAUGGUGGAGGCAUGAAAGCUAAUAAAGAUAUAUUUUGAGGUUAACUUCUAUUUGUUCUAGCGGUUUCUAAAUAAUUUUCCCAUUUAGAAAAUAUAUUUAUAGUAAAACAAAAGAGAAAUGUUUUUAAUGAUGUUUUAAAAUUUGUUAUUAUUGUUGUUUUUGGCUGCAUCACGAGGCAUGUGGGAUCUUGGUUCCCCGA
This is a long non-coding RNA of Cervus elaphus (red deer), 831 nucleotides long. RefSeq lists it as uncharacterized. NCBI's taxonomy places the organism in Eukaryota, Metazoa, Chordata, Mammalia, Artiodactyla, Cervidae. The record is from RefSeq and is a predicted model, not a curated record. The transcript is spliced from 3 exons.